GUAGGGAAUAUUGGGCAAUGGUCGGAAGACUGACCCAGCCAUGCCGCGUGCAGGAAGACGGCCCUCUGGGUUGUAAACUGCUUUUAUCUGGGAAGAAAAAGGCCAUGCGUGGCAAAUUGCCGGUACCAGAUGAAUAAGCACCGGCUAACUCCGUGCCAGCAGCCGCGGUAAUACGGAGGGUGCGAGCGUUGUCCGGAUUUAUUGGGUUGAAAGGGUGCGUAGGCGGCUGAUUAAGUCAGCGGUGAAAGACUUCGGCUUAACCGGAGCAGUGCCGUUGAUACUGGUUGGCUUGAGUGUCGGAGGGGUACAUGGAAUUGAUGGUGUAGCGGUGAAAUGCAUAGAUACCAUCAGGAACACCGAUAGCGAAGGCAUUGUACUGGCCGACAACUGACGCUGAUGCACGAAAGUGUGGGGAUCGAACAGGAUUAGAAACCCGGGUAGUCC
RNAcentral lists this ribosomal RNA (444 nucleotides) under uncultured bacterium. Its description in RNAcentral is "partial 16S ribosomal RNA". It matches the Rfam family "Bacterial small subunit ribosomal RNA", at positions 354 to 796 of the family's 1533-position model. The record is from RNAcentral.